CCCUUAGAUGUCCUGGGCCGCACGCGCGCUACACUGACGGAGGCAGCGAGCUUACCCCUUUGCCGAAAGGCAUGGGAAAUCUUUUGAAUCUCCGUCGUGCUGGGGAUAGAUCAUUGCAAUUAUUGAUCUUGAACGAGGAAUUCCUAGUAAGCGCAAGUCAUCAACUUGCGUUGAUUACGUCCCUGCCCUUUGUACGCACCGCCCGUCGCUCCUACCGAUUGAAUGAUCAGGUGAGCCAUUCGGACCUUCAUCAUGCCGGUUUCCGGUUUUGAUGAGGGAAAGUCUUGCGAACCUUAUCAUUUAGAGGAAGGAGAAGUCGUAACA
Molecule: ribosomal RNA, 324 nt
Filed under: uncultured eukaryote
Lineage: Eukaryota
Description: partial 18S ribosomal RNA
Rfam family: Eukaryotic small subunit ribosomal RNA
Source: RNAcentral